Molecule: transfer RNA, 76 nt
Filed under: Desmophyllum pertusum
Lineage: Eukaryota; Metazoa; Cnidaria; Anthozoa; Scleractinia; Caryophylliidae
Description: Lophelia pertusa tRNA
Rfam family: tRNA
About the family: Transfer RNA (tRNA) molecules are approximately 80 nucleotides in length. Their secondary structure includes four short double-helical elements and three loops (D, anti-codon, and T loops). Further hydrogen bonds mediate the characteristic L-shaped molecular structure. tRNAs have two regions of fundamental functional importance: the anti-codon, which is responsible for specific mRNA codon recognition, and the 3' end, to which the tRNAs corresponding amino acid is attached (by aminoacyl-tRNA synthetases). tRNAs cope with the degeneracy of the genetic code in two manners: having more than one tRNA (with a specific anti-codon) for a particular amino acid; and 'wobble' base-pairing, i.e. permitting non-standard base-pairing at the 3rd anti-codon position.
Source: Rfam by way of RNAcentral
GGCUUCAUAGCUCAGUUGGUAGUAGAGCAGUGCACUAGUAACGCGGAGGUCAUGGGUUCAAAUCCCGUUGAAGCCA